GCUCAAUCAACCCAUAUGCACCUAUGGGUAGGUUCUCAAUCAAUUAUUUUUUCAAACAACUUCUAGUAUUUAAUUUAACCCCAAAGUUUAUUUUAGUGAGCGAUGGGCAUCCACUGAAAGUUUCAGUUAGGUCAAACUAUUAACAUGAACCCACUCAGUGAUUCUACUUAAUGAGUGAUCAGGUUCGAGAUGGCUUGGUCAACCCAACCAUCAUCAGAUAGUUCAAAGAGUCAUCAUAUGAUGAAUGCUAAUUUUAUUAUUCAGAGUGAACACC
RNAcentral lists this long non-coding RNA (274 nucleotides) under Elaeis guineensis (African oil palm). RNAcentral describes it as "long non-coding RNA (EGUI_LNC064300)". The record is from RNAcentral. Lineage: Eukaryota; Viridiplantae; Streptophyta; Magnoliopsida; Arecales; Arecaceae.